This 57-nucleotide transfer RNA is filed under the name Alligator mississippiensis (American alligator). It matches the Rfam family "tRNA", at positions 9 to 63 of the family's 71-position model. From Rfam's summary of the family: Transfer RNA (tRNA) molecules are approximately 80 nucleotides in length. Their secondary structure includes four short double-helical elements and three loops (D, anti-codon, and T loops). The record is from Rfam by way of RNAcentral. Lineage: Eukaryota; Metazoa; Chordata; Crocodylia; Alligatoridae.
GUCCUAAUAGAUAAGGCACUGGCCUUUCAAGCCAGAUAUUGUGGGUUCAAAGCCCAC